Molecule: ribosomal RNA, 345 nt
Filed under: uncultured bacterium
Lineage: Bacteria
Description: bacterial SSU rRNA
Rfam family: Bacterial small subunit ribosomal RNA
Source: RNAcentral
AGAGUUCGAUUCUGGCUCAGGAUGAACGCUGGCGGCGUGCCUAACACAUGCAAGUCGAACGGAGUCGUUUUGGAAAUCUCUUCGGAGAUGGAAUUCUCGACUUAGUGGCGGACGGGUGAGUAACGCGUGAGCAAUCUGCCUUUAAGAGGGGGAUAACAGUCGGAAACGGCUGCUAAUACCGCAUAAAGCAUCAAAUUCGCAUGUUUUUGAUGCCAAAGGAGCAAUCCGCUUUUAGAUGAGCUCGCGUCUGAUUAGCUGGUUGGCGGGGUAACGGCCCACCAAGGCGACGAUCAGUAGCCGGACUGAGAGGUUGAACGGCCACAUUGGGACUGAGACACGGCCCAG